AUUGAACGCUAGCGGGAUGCUUUACACAUGCACGUCGAACGGCAGCGCGGACUUCGGUCUGGCGGCGAGUGGCGAACGGGUGAGUAAUGUAUCGGAACGUGCCCAGUAGCGGGGGAUAACUACGCGAAAGCGUAGCUAAUACCGCAUACGCCCUACGGGGGAAAGCAGGGGAUCGUAAGACCUUGCACUAUUGGAGCGGCCGAUAUCGGAUUAGCUAGUUGGUGAGGUAACGGCUCACCAAGGCGACGAUCCGUAGCUGGUUUGAGGGGACGACCAGCCACACUGGGACUGAGACACGGCCCAGACUCCUACGGGAGGCAGCAGUGGGGAAUUUUGGACAAUGGGGGCAACCCUGAUCCAGCCAUCCCGCGUGUGCGAUGAAGGCCUUCGGGUUGUAAAGCACUUUUGGCAGGAAAGAAACGUCGCGGGCUAAUACCCCGUGGAACUGACGGUACCUGCAGAAUAAGCACCGGCUAACUACGUG
This 484-nucleotide ribosomal RNA is filed under the name uncultured bacterium. Its description in RNAcentral is "partial 16S ribosomal RNA". It matches the Rfam family "Bacterial small subunit ribosomal RNA", at positions 30 to 507 of the family's 1533-position model. The record is from RNAcentral.